RNAcentral lists this ribosomal RNA (253 nucleotides) under uncultured bacterium. RNAcentral's name for it is "partial 16S ribosomal RNA". It matches the Rfam family "Bacterial small subunit ribosomal RNA", at positions 524 to 776 of the family's 1533-position model. The record is from RNAcentral.
UACAGAGGGUGCAAGCGUUGUUCGGAAUUAUUGGGCGUAAAGAGCGCGUAGGCGGUCCGGUAAGUCCGCUCUGAAAGUCCGGGGCUCAACCCCGGGAGGCGGGCGGAUACUGUCGGGCUAGAGUCCGGAAGAGGCGAGUGGAAUUCCUGGUGUAGCGGUGAAAUGCGCAGAUAUCAGGAGGAACACCGAUGGCGAAGGCAGCUCGCUGGGACGGUACUGACGCUGAGGCGCGAAAGCGUGGGGAGCAAACAGG